RNAcentral lists this ribosomal RNA (495 nucleotides) under uncultured bacterium. Its description in RNAcentral is "partial 16S ribosomal RNA". It matches the Rfam family "Bacterial small subunit ribosomal RNA", at positions 36 to 507 of the family's 1533-position model. The record is from RNAcentral.
UUCCCUCUGUCUUCGUGCCUAAUACAUGCCAGUCGAGCGAACAGACGAGGAGCUUGCUCCUCUGACGUUAGCGGCGGACGGGUGAGUAACACGUGGAUAACCUACCUAUAAGACUGGGAUAACUUCGGGAAACCGGAGCUAAUACCGGAUAAUAUAUUGAACCGCAUGGUUCAAUAGUGAAAGACGGUUUUGCUGUCACUUAUAGAUGGAUCCGCGCCGCAUUAGCUAGUUGGUAAGGUAACGGCUUACCAAGGCAACGAUGCGUAGCCGACCUGAGAGGGUGAUCGGCCACACUGGAACUGAGACACGGUCCAGACUCCUACGGGAGGCAGCAGUAGGGAAUCUUCCGCAAUGGGCGAAAGCCUGACGGAGCAACGCCGCGUGAGUGAUGAAGGUCUUCGGAUCGUAAAACUCUGUUAUUAGGGAAGAACAAAUGUGUAAGUAACUAUGCACGUCUUGACGGUACCUAAUCAGAAAGCCACGGCUAACUACGCG